This 400-nucleotide ribosomal RNA is filed under the name uncultured bacterium. Its description in RNAcentral is "bacterial SSU rRNA". It matches the Rfam family "Bacterial small subunit ribosomal RNA", at positions 355 to 747 of the family's 1533-position model. The record is from RNAcentral.
UGGGGAAUAUUGGACAAUGGGCGCAAGCCUGAUCCAGCCAUGCCGCGUGAGUGAAGAAGGCCUUCGGGUUGUAAAGCUCUUUUGUCCGGAAAGAAAAGCACUUGAUUAAUACUCAGGUGUCCUGACGGUACCGGAAGAAUAAGCACCGGCUAACUUCGUGCCAGCAGCCGCGGUAAUACGAAGGGUGCAAGCGUUACUCGGAAUUACUGGGCGUAAAGCGUGCGUAGGUGGUCUGUUAAGUCUGAUGUGAAAGCCCUGGGCUCAACCUGGGAACUGCAUUGGAUACUGGCAGUCUGGAGUGCGGUAGAGGGUGGCGGAAUUCCCGGUGUAGCAGUGAAAUGCGUAGAUAUCGGGAGGAACAUCCGUGGCGAAGGCGGCCACCUGGACCAGCACUGACACU